RNAcentral lists this ribosomal RNA (879 nucleotides) under uncultured beta proteobacterium. RNAcentral's name for it is "bacterial SSU rRNA". It matches the Rfam family "Bacterial small subunit ribosomal RNA", at positions 56 to 935 of the family's 1533-position model. Lineage: Bacteria; Pseudomonadati; Pseudomonadota; Betaproteobacteria. The record is from RNAcentral.
UGCAGUCGAACGGGGUGAAGGGGCAACUCUUCAUUCAGUGGCGAACGGGUGAGUAAUGCAUCGGAACGUGUCCCGUAGAGGGGGAUAACUCGGCGAAAGCCGUGCUAAUACCGCAUAUGCUCUAUGGAGGAAAGUGGGGGACCCGCAAGGGCCUUACGCUAUGGGAGCGGCCGAUGUCCGAUUAGCUUGUUGGUGGGGUAAUGGCCUACCAAGGCGACGAUCGGUAGCUGGUCUGAGAGGAUGAUCAGCCACACUGGGACUGAGACACGGCCCAGACUCCUACGGGAGGCAGCAGUGGGGAAUUUUGGACAAUGGGGGCAACCCUGAUCCAGCCAUGCCGCGUGCGGGAAGAAGGCCUUCGGGUUGUAAACCGCUUUUAGUCGGGAAGAAAAGGCCACCUUGAAUACGGGUGGUUUUUGACGGUACCGGCGGAAUAAGCACCGGCUAACUACGUGCCAGCAGCCGCGGUAAUACGUAGGGUGCGAGCGUUAAUCGGAAUUACUGGGCGUAAAGCGUGCGCAGGCGGUUCGUCGUGUCUGAUGUGAAAGCCCCGGGCUCAACCUGGGAACGGCAUUGGAAACUGGCGGACUAGAGUGUGGCAGAGGGGGGUGGAAUUCCGCGUGUAGCAGUGAAAUGCGUAGAGAUGCGGAGGAACACCGAUGGCGAAGGCAGCCCCCUGGGUUAACACUGACGCUCAGCACGAAAGCGUGGGGAGCAAACAGGAUUAGAUACCCUGUAGUCCACGCCCUAAACCAUGUCAACUGGGUGUUGGGGAAGCGAUUCCUCAGUACCGUAGCUAACGCGUGAAGUUGACCGCCUGGGGAGUACGGCCGCAAGGUUAAAACUCAAAGGAAUUGACGGGGACCGCACAAGCGGGGA